This 66-nucleotide microRNA precursor is filed under the name Prunus dulcis (almond). RNAcentral describes it as "sRNA ncRNA". The record is from RNAcentral. Lineage: Eukaryota; Viridiplantae; Streptophyta; Magnoliopsida; Rosales; Rosaceae.
UCCUUUUUUAUCCACUUACACUCCAUUUUAUAACUAAGAAAAGGAGUGUAAGUGGAUAAAAAAGGA